CUGUCCGUUCAACAUCCUGCAUUACAGUGCCAGAUAUAUGACUGUAUGUAUGUUUUACAUCCAACAAGGGUUUCCUCAGGCCUUGUUCUGCACACACGGAAGGAGGGACAAUGUUGGGGGUCAGAAAACCUGAAUGAUUGAGUUAAAGUGUGAGUUUGAGCUGGGUUAUUUACAGAAGUGUGUCACCGCUGCAUAUGUGUUUUGACUAUACCUGUGUCCUUCAUUGGUUCACCACGUACAUUCCUGUCCUGUUUUUCGGAGGUUUUUCUCUGACAUCCUGUUAAAACCAAUUAAAAAGUCAAUUAACAUUAGAUGACAAUGAAGGGCAUGUAUAAACCAUAACGUCUAUCAGCAUUAGAAAUAACUUUUUAUGUCAAAAGUCAUUAAGUACUUUUUUUUUCUUUUAGUAUCGUUAACUUAAAAUUAUUAUUAUUGUUUAUUUAUAUUUUUGGUUUUAUUUAUUUGAUCUUGUAUGUUUUGAUUAUUUCAUUUUAUUUAAAUGUUAGAUAUAUUUGAUAUUCCUUUAUAUAUUUAUAUUUUGUGUAUAUAUAUUUUUUUACUUUUAUUAAUAUUGUGAUUUUUUUUCUGUUGUGAGACCUCUUUUUUAUUUACUUACUGUAAAAUAUUGUUCUUUUUUAUUGUUUUAUUUUUGUUUUUAUAUUUUGGUUUAUUGUUCUUCCAUUUUUGUGUGUGUGUGUGUGUGUGUCUGGGGCCAUAUGGGUUGGGCUGUUUCGGGUGAUUUAGAUAAUUUUGUUUAUAUCAUCACUGUGAAUCAUCCAGCUUGUUAUUAAUAUAAAUGCCAGUACCUUAACAAACGCCUCCGUUCAGCUCCGUUCAGUUAAUCACUCUCUGCUAUGAUCAGCUGUCCCCCUAAACCUGCUGCUCGGAUGCAUUCAGCCCUGGAGGCCUGAAUGAGGGUUGGUUUCAAAGCUUAAGUCUUUCUCUCCUGGCUCCUGUUAUUGUUCGAAUGUAGGCAGGGCAUUGUGAGCGGUGACGCCGGGGCUACUGGACGAUGGAGGAGAUGCAGAUGGAGGCCUCACAGUCUCUGAACGAGAGUCGAGUUUCCCACGCUUCAGGUUUCUUAGGUUUCCCCGCACAAAGAGGGGCCUGUGCAGGCGACGGGGACACUGGAACGCAGGUGUGACUCUCAAAUUGUCCAGUUCAUACAGCAGCAGGCAAGAGCUGAUCCAUUAUGACUGUACCAGCAGGGAUGUCUGGAUUGAAGUACAUGGGAGGAUUCAUCUCUUCAGCUUCAUUCAUGAAAACUCUUCGUUUCGGACAACAGCACCAGAUCACCACCUGAGAGGAGGAACACCGUUGUCCUUUAACUGUUAACACUGAUAAAAACACCCCCAAAAUGUUCCAACUUGGCUUUGAAGUAUUUUGCCAUGAUAGUCUUGCUUUAUAUAUAAAUAUGGUAAUCAUUUAGUAGCAUUGUAUAUAUACGGUGGACCAGUAGUGCACCACACAACAAAAUCUCCAUAACACAACAAUAUUGCAUACAACUAGUUUUUGUUGUGUUGUGCUAAUUUGGUAGUGUUUCAGCUAAUUGUUUUGUGUUGCAGCUUGUUUCCAUUGUGUUGUGCUAAUUUGGUUGUGUUGUGGCUUGUUUCCGUUGCGUUGUGCUAAUUUCGCUGUGUUUCACCUUGUUUCUGUAAUUUUGUUGUCUUGCGGCUUGUUUAAAUUGUGUUGUGGUAAUUUCGUUUUUGUGUUGUGCCUUGGUUUUCGUUGUGUUGUGCUAAUUUCAUUGUGUUGUGCCUUGUUUCCAUUGCAUUGUGCUAAUUUUGUUGUGUUGUGGUUUGUUUUUGUUGUGUUGUGGAGAUUUCGUUGUGUUGUGCACUACUGGGCUACCGUAUAUAUAGCCUAUCAAAGGUUAAAUUGCAUAUAAUCUGAUUCCAAAACUGUGCCAAUGUGCUGCCUCUAUACUUAGGGAUAGUAGUACAAAAGUUGGUCAGUUUUAUUAUUUAUUCAAAUGAAACAAUCAAAUGUGACACCUUUCAAACAUAUCACAAAUAUCCUAUCUUAAAGUUGCUAUCAUGUUCUUCUAUAAAACCAAAGGUUUAUAUUACAUUGAUCCUAA
Molecule: long non-coding RNA, 2080 nt
Organism: Cyprinus carpio (common carp)
Lineage: Eukaryota; Metazoa; Chordata; Actinopteri; Cypriniformes; Cyprinidae
Source: Ensembl